GUGACUGCGUACCUUUUGUAUAAUGGGUCAGCGACUUAUAUUCUGUAGCAAGGUUAACCGUAUAGGGGAGCCGAAGGGAAACCGAGUCUUAACUGGGCGUUAAGUUGCAGGGUAUAGACCCGAAACCCGGUGAUCUAGCCAUGGGCAGGUUGAAGGUUGGGUAACACUAACUGGAGGACCGAACCGACUAAUGUUGAAAAAUUAGCGGAUGACCUGUGGCUGGGGGUGAAAGGCCAAUCAAACCGGGAGAUAGCUGGUUCUCCCCGAAAGCUAUUUAGGUAGCGCCUCGUGAACUCAUCUUCGGGGGUAGAGCACUGUUUCGGCUAGGGGGCCAUCCCGGCUUACCAACCCGAUGCAAACUACGAAUACCGAAGAAUGUUAUCACGGGAGACACACGGCGGGUGCUAACGUCCGUCGUGAAGAGGGAAACAACCCAGACCGCCAGCUAAGGUCCCAAAGUCAUGGUUAAGUGGGAAACGAUGUGGGAAGGCACAGACAGCCAGGAUGUUGGCUUAGAAGCAGCCAUCAUUUAAAGAAAGCGUAAUAGCUCACUGGUCGAGUCGGCCUGCGCGGAAGAUGUAACGGGGCUAAACCAUGCACCGAAGCUGCGGCAGCGACACUAUGUGUUGUUGGGUAGGGGAGCGUUCUGUAAGCCGUUGAAGGUGUGCUGUGAGGCAUGCUGGAGGUAUCAGAAGUGCGAAUGCUGACAUAAGUAACGAUAAAGCGGGUGAAAAGCCCGCUCGCCGGAAGACCAAGGGUUCCUGUCCAACGUUAAUCGGGGCAGGGUGAGUCGACCCCUAAGGCGAGGCCGAAAGGCGUAGUCGAUGGGAAACAGGUUAAUAUUCCUGUACUUGGUGUUACUGCGAAGGGGGGACGGAGAAGGCUAUGUCAGCCGGGCGACGGUUGUCCCGGUUUAAGCAUGUAGGCGGAGGUUCCAGGUAAAUCCGGUACCUUUUAACGCUGAGGUGUGAUGACGAGGCACUACGGUGCUGAAGUGAUAAAUGCCCUGCUUCCAGGAAAAGCCUCUAAGCAUCAGGUAACACGAAAUCGUACCCCAAACCGACACAGGUGGUCAGGUAGAGAAUACCAAGGCGCUUGAGAGAACUCGGGUGAAGGAACUAGGCAAAAUGGUGCCGUAACUUCGGGAGAAGGCACGCUGAUAUGUAGGUGAAGUCCCUGCGGACGGAGCUGAAAUCAGUCGAAGAUACCAGCUGGCUGCAACUGUUUAUUAAAAACACAGCACUGUGCAAACACGAAAGUGGACGUAUACGGUGUGACGCCUGCCCGGUGCCGGAAGGUUAAUUGAUGGGGUUAGCGGCAACGCGAAGCUCUUGAUCGAAGCCCCGGUAAACGGCGGCCGUAACUAUAACGGUCCUAAGGUAGCGAAAUUCCUUGUCGGGUAAGUUCCGACCUGCACGAAUGGCGUAAUGAUGGCCAGGCUGUCUCCACCCGAGACUCAGUGAAAUUGAACUCGCUGUGAAGAUGCAGUGUACCCGCGGCAAGACGGAAAGACCCCGUGAACCUUUACUAUAGCUUGACACUGAACACUGGUCCUUGAUGUGUAGGAUAGGUGGGAGGCUUUGAAGCGUGGACGCCAGUCUGCGUGGAGCCAUCCUUGAAAUACCACCCUUUAAUGGCUGGUGUUCUAACGUAGACCCGUGAUCCGGGUUGCGGACAGUGUCUGGUGGGUAGUUUGACUGGGGCGGUCUCCUCCCAAAGAGUAACGGAGGAGCACGAAGGUUGGCUAAUCCUGGUCGGACAUCAGGAGGUUAGUGCAAUGGCAUAAGCCAGCUUGACUGCGAGCGUGACGGCGCGAGCAGGUGCGAAAGCAGGUCAUAGUGAUCCGGUGGUUCUGAAUGGAAGGGCCAUCGCUCAACGGAUAAAAGGUACUCCGGGGAUAACAGGCUGAUACCGCCCAAGAGUUCAUAUCGACGGCGGUGUUUGGCACCUCGAUGUCGGCUCAUCACAUCCUGGGGCUGAAGUAGGUCCCAAGGGUAUGGCUGUUCGCCAUUUAAAGUGGUACGCGAGCUGGGUUUAGAACGUCGUGAGACAGUUCGGUCCCUAUCUGCCGUGGGCGCUGGAGAAUUGAGGGGGGCUGCUCCUAGUACGAGAGGACCGGAGUGGACGCAUCACUGGUGUUCGGGUUGUCAUGCCAAUGGCACUGCCCGGUAGCUAAAUGCGGAAGAGAUAAGUGCUGAAAGCAUCUAAGCACGAAACUUGCCCCGAGAUGAGUUCUCCCUGAGACUUUAAGUCUCCUGAAGGAACGUUGAAGACGACGACGUUGAUAGGUCGGGUGUGUAAGCGCAGCGAUGCGUUGAGCUAACCGAUACUAAUGAACCGUGAGGCUUAACCUU
This 2354-nucleotide ribosomal RNA is filed under the name Enterobacter hormaechei. RNAcentral's name for it is "23S ribosomal RNA". It matches the Rfam family "Bacterial large subunit ribosomal RNA", at positions 593 to 2925 of the family's 2925-position model. The record is from RNAcentral. Lineage: Bacteria; Pseudomonadati; Pseudomonadota; Gammaproteobacteria; Enterobacterales; Enterobacteriaceae.